CAGGUUCACCCAUGGCUGUGCUGGUGCAGCACAGAGAAGGACUGUCUACGCAAUGAACCUACUCAAGACUUCACCGACUGGCGAGGUGAUGAAAACAAGACUCUUCAGUCCCUGCUGUCCCUAAGGCCCUACCUCAGUUCCUCCAAGAUAACUCAGGUGUCCUUGCAUCUCCCCUGAUUCCAGCACACAGGACACUCUUUACUCUCCCGAAUGUCAUCUAGCAAGACCCGACCCUGUCUGGAACUGAGCAUCCGGAACCACUUGUGUGCAUCACAUGCAAUUUCCAGCUGUUGUGGGAAAGCAAUGAAUGAAGAGAAAGUACUAGACCCUGACAAGGCUUAGCAUCUAGGGGAGGAGGGGGAGAAGUAGGGAGAAGAUCCUAAAGGUCAAAUGCAAUGUCUCCCAUUGUUCAUGUACCUUUUCAAAAAGAGACAAUUCCAUUUGAUCCACUAAUACAGUGGUUCUCAACCUUCCUAAUGCCGCGACCCUUUAAUACAGUUCCUCAUGUUGUGGUGAC
This is a long non-coding RNA of Myotis brandtii (Brandt's bat), 517 nucleotides long. RefSeq lists it as uncharacterized. NCBI's taxonomy places the organism in Eukaryota, Metazoa, Chordata, Mammalia, Chiroptera, Vespertilionidae. The transcript has 3 exons. The record is from RefSeq and is a predicted model, not a curated record.